This 492-nucleotide ribosomal RNA is filed under the name uncultured bacterium. RNAcentral's name for it is "partial 16S ribosomal RNA". It matches the Rfam family "Bacterial small subunit ribosomal RNA", at positions 29 to 507 of the family's 1533-position model. The record is from RNAcentral.
AGUGAACGCUGGCGGUAGGCCUCGCACAUGCAAGUCGAACGGCAGCACAGUAAGAGCUUGCUCUUACGGGUGGCGAGUGGCGGACGGGUGAGGAAUACAUCGGAAUCUACUUUUUCGUGGGGGAUAACGUAGGGAAACUUACGCUAAUACCGCAUACGACCUACGGGUGAAAGCAGGGGAUCUUCGGACCUUGCGCGAUUGAAUGAGCCGAUGUCGGAUUAGCUAGUUGGCGGGGUAAAGGCCCACCAAGGCGACGAUCCGUAGCUGGUCUGAGAGGAUGAUCAGCCACACUGGAACUGAGACACGGUCCAGACUCCUACGAGAGGCAGCAGUGGGGAAUAUUGGACAAUGGGCGCAAGCCUGAUCCAGCCAUACCGCGUGGGUGAAGAAGGCCUUCGGGUUGUAAAGCCCUUUUGUUGGGAAAGAAAAGCAGCAGGUUAAUACCCCGCUGUUCUGACGGUACCCAAAGAAUAAGCACCGGCUAACUUCGUG